Dallia pectoralis (Alaska blackfish) is the source of this 70-nucleotide non-coding RNA. The record is from the annotation of a GenBank genome assembly. NCBI's taxonomy places the organism in Eukaryota, Metazoa, Chordata, Actinopteri, Esociformes, Umbridae.
GUUGGUGUAGCUCAGUGGUAGAGUGCAUGCUUUGUAUGUAUGAUGUCCUGGGUCAAUCCCAGCUUCUCCC